This 424-nucleotide ribosomal RNA is filed under the name uncultured bacterium. Its description in RNAcentral is "bacterial SSU rRNA". It matches the Rfam family "Bacterial small subunit ribosomal RNA", at positions 355 to 796 of the family's 1533-position model. The record is from RNAcentral.
UGGGGAAUCUUGCACAAUGGGGGAAACCCUGAUGCAGCGACGCCGCGUGAGCGAUGAAGCCCUUCGGGGUGUAAAGCUCUUUCGUCAGGGAAGAUAGUGACGGUACCUGGAGAAGCAGCUGCGGCUAACUACGUGCCAGCAGCCGCGGUAAUACGUAGGCAGCAAGCGUUGUUCGGAGUUACUGGGCGUAAAGGGUGUGUAGGCGGUUCUUUAAGUUUGCUGUGAAAUCUCCCGGCUUAACCGGGAGGGUGCGGUGAAUACUGAGGGACUAGAGUACGGGAGAGGAAAGUGGAAUUCCUGGUGUAGCGGUGAAAUGCGUAGAUAUCAGGAGGAACACCGGUGGUGUAGACGGCUUUCUGGACCGUAACUGACGCUGAGACACGAAAGCGUGGGUAGCAAACAGGAUUAGAUACCCCCGUAGUCC